GACAGAAGAUGGCGGAUGAGCAGCGUGCAGGGUUUUCUCCCUGUGGCUCACUCUCUCUUACUGUGCUGGGCGGUUGCUUCCUCUCCUGCUGCCCUUGGGAGUCAGACUCCAGGUUCUUCAGCCUGUGGCCCCUGGGGCUCUCGGGCCUUGGAGGACUGACUAGGAGCACACGGUGGGCCUCUCUGGUUUGGGGGCCUGGGACGUGGCGGAGCCCUGCAGCUUCUGUGCGGCCUGUUCUGGGCGUCGCGUUGAAACGCCAGCCAGUUCCCCAACAGAAAGAGCAUACGGGAGAGAUGAAGCAGUCCACUCCAAGAACAUUCUCAUCCUACGGAUUACGAGUCCCCCUGGGAUUACAGGAGUGUUGAAGAAAUGUUGUGACACAUCAGAACACCGCGAAAUACAUGGACACUUUCAAAUCAUGGAAGACUCAAGGUGCCAAGAGAUAAAAUUCCUUUAUUGCCCUUGAUUUUGUCACCCCCUAUUGUUUCGGGGCUCCCUAUGAAGCUGUUUGUCAGGCCGAGUCUGAUUACUACGGGCGUAACCCCCGGAUGCACUGGAGCACUGGUGCAGUGAUGGGUCAGGAGGGCAUCUUUCUCGGCUCUUCACUGUGAGAACCUUGUGGGAUUCCUGAAGAUGAAACCAUGAACGCGAGGGAGUCUUGCUAAAACUGCAGCAUUCGAGAGGUUUUCACUCAUGCUGGCUCACACUUGUCCUCUAGCAAUUCAUCAAAAUUACCACGUAAGUGUUUCAACAGUUUAUGGCUCAGGUGGCCUCAGCUGUGAUGCUCCAAAUUUGCCUGUUUCUCCAGAUGCAGGGUAGCAGUUUGCUGUUUCUCCUGAGUUCUUUGAUGGAUUCAAGAAAAGUCAUGAUUUUCAGUUUGUUCUGAUUUUUUCUUGUGAGGGCAAAGUAAUGACUAAGCUUUAAUGUGUUUCAGCUAAAACUACAUGUAUUUUAAUAGCAAAAUGAGAUAUAAUUCACAUGUCAUAAAAGUCACCAUUUUUGGGUGCACAACUCAUUGGAUUUUAGUAUAUUCCAGGGUUAUGCAAGAAUAAAUAUUCUCUAAUUUUGGAACAUAUUUAUCUACUCAGAAAGAAACUUUGUGCUCAUUAACAGUUACUUAAUAUUCUCUCUCCCCUAACCUAUGGUAACUACUAGUCGACUUGCUAUAGAUUAGGUUACUUUGGAUAUUUCAUAUAUGUUGAAUCAUAAAAUAUGUGCCUUGGCUUCUUUCACUUACCGUAAUAUUUACAAAAUUCAUUCAUCUUACAAAGUACUUCAUUCUAUUUUUGAUUUUAUGGGUUAAUAAUAUUCUACUGUCUGGCUAUAUACAUGUAUGAAUAAUGUGGCAACAUUUUGUCCAUACACUCAUCAUGUGAUUAGUAUUUGCUUUGUUGUUGUUGUGUGUUUUUUAUUUUUCAGUUAUUAUGAAUAAUGAUUAUGAAUUCAGUUAUUAUGAAUAACUACAAUAAAUAGUUAUGC
This is a long non-coding RNA of Homo sapiens (human), 1479 nucleotides long. Ensembl annotates it as long intergenic non-protein coding RNA 1446. The record is from Ensembl. NCBI's taxonomy places the organism in Eukaryota, Metazoa, Chordata, Mammalia, Primates, Hominidae.